UUUGCUUCAUGCUUCAUAUGUUGCCGCCACUAUAAAAAUACAAUGCAGGCAGAGGAAAGUAACACUACUGCUUAAAGCAGCCAACACAGCAACAUCUACAUUUUCUGCAGAAUAUUGUCAGCAAAGCACAGAGAGCCUCCAGUCCAGCUGAGGAUAUACAGUAUUGAAGAGUGGUAGCUUUGCUUAUGGUUAGCACCAGUCAGUCCAUAUAUCCUGCCAAGCCCAAUGGCACUGCACCUUGGAGAGUCCCCCUGUCUGAAUCAGAGUAAUUCAGUGAAUCAACAUGCUUGCAGGUUACGAAGAGGAGGAUUUCACCCAGACCAUAAAGAAAAGGAGGAUUUCACCCAGACCCACGAGAUAAAACUCCCAUAAUCACUGAUCCUACCCAAUUUGUCCACUAAGUCCAGCCCUGCCCUCUCAUGAAGUCAGAUGAAUUGACACCUCGUGCUUGUUUCCUAUCUUGACUGCCAGGUUUAAUCUGGCUGACUGCUGGCAGGCAUCCUGCUGAAAAGUAUUUAAGAUUUAUGCAGGAGUAAAUUCCUGCAGGACACCAGCAAAAAUCAUAUGCCUGGAUUUUCCUUCCGAUAGUUCUCCCUUCCGUACUUGGAUUUGAAGAAGCAUCAGAGCUCAUGGUCAACAACGUUAAAGCAGCAGAGAACCUACAAGAAUAGGGUUUUCCAUCCUCAAUCAGUUACCAAUUAAGCUUCGAGACACAAAAAAUUUUGCAGAUGCUGUAUGUAUCUGGGGCAAUACAUAUAAAGUGCUGGAGGAACUCAGCAGGUCAGGCAGCAUCCAUGGAGGGAAAUAAACAGUCGA
Long non-coding RNA from Pristis pectinata (smalltooth sawfish), 816 nucleotides. RefSeq lists it as uncharacterized. NCBI's taxonomy places the organism in Eukaryota, Metazoa, Chordata, Chondrichthyes, Rhinopristiformes, Pristidae. The record is from RefSeq and is a predicted model, not a curated record. The transcript has 3 exons.